UUUGAAAAAGUAGCACAGACCAGAUCUUCUCAUCAGCAAAGCUAAAAGACCUAAAUAUUCAAAGUCACUGCUUUAGUGUAACAGCAAGAACAGCAAAGACAGAGGGAAUGUACCCAGAGAGGAGACAAUCAAGAAGCACUCUGAUCCCAGAACUGGAAAAUGGGAAACAGGGAAUGCAAGCGCAAAAAAAGUUUUGCCUUUAACACUGAGUUCAAGACCUGAGCUUCAUAAGAGCAAAGGACAGUCAUCAUCAUCUUCACACUGCAUAGAUAUUUGAAUGCCAAGUCAAUAAAAUCCUAGUUAAAUAAAUGAAGCUCAAGAAAUGUGCUUUUUGAGCAGCGGGGUACAUGUAUGGAGAAAAACGAGAAAGGAGUGCUGGUGGAAGAAAAUUAAUGUACAACUUGCUCCUUGAAACACAGGCUUUAAAGUAUAACUUUGGAAUCAUAUACUUAUUUUCAAGAAAAAAAUUAUCUUCACAAUGAACGAAUUUCUGGAUGAGGCUGUUGACUACGGAAAAUGGUCCCUUUCCAUAUCUGCCAAUUUUAUGUCUCUUGAUAUUUCUGCACCCUCUUACUAAUUAACUGGUCUUCAUCAGGAAGAUAUUAAUAAUGGUUGAACACUCAGGAGACACCCACAGCCUCAAAACUAAAGAGACCUAUUCAAGAAGAGACGGGAUGAACCAGGAGAAGAAAGGUACAUGGCAAAAACACAGCAGGUCAGAGCAGUUGUGCCCGGCUUUGCAC
Molecule: non-coding RNA, 743 nt
Organism: Ictidomys tridecemlineatus (thirteen-lined ground squirrel)
Lineage: Eukaryota; Metazoa; Chordata; Mammalia; Rodentia; Sciuridae
Source: RefSeq, a predicted model, not a curated record